This 495-nucleotide ribosomal RNA is filed under the name uncultured bacterium. RNAcentral's name for it is "bacterial SSU rRNA". It matches the Rfam family "Bacterial small subunit ribosomal RNA", at positions 32 to 524 of the family's 1533-position model. The record is from RNAcentral.
AAUCAACGCUGGCGGCGUGCCUCAGACAUGCAAGUCGAACGCGAAAUUUCCCUUCGGGGAGAAAGUAGAGUGGCGCACGGGUGAGUAACACGUAGGUAAUUUGCCUUUGGGUGGGGAAUAAUUCAGGGAAACUUGAGCUAAUACCGCAUAAUGCAGCGGCUCGACAUCGAGACAGUUGUUAAAGCGGGGGAUCGCAAGACCUCGCGCCUAAAGAGAAGCCUGCGGCAGAUUAGCUAGUUGGUAGGGUAAUGGCCUACCAAGGCAACGAUCUGUAACCGGCCUGAGAGGGCGGUCGGUCACACUGACACUGACAUACGGGUCAGACUCCUACGGGAGGCAGCAGUCGGGAAUUUUGGGCAAUGGGCGAAAGCCUGACCCAGCAACGCCGCGUGAAGGAUGAAGUAUUUCGGUAUGUAAACUUCGAAAGAAUGGGAAGAAUCAAUGACGGUACCAUUUAUAAGGUCCGGCUAACUACGUGCCAGCCGCCGCGGUAAG